UACGGAGGGAGCAAGCGUUACUCGGAAUUAUUGGGCGUAAAGGGCGCGUAGGCGAUUUGGCAAGUCUUGUGUGAAAGCCCACAGCCUAACUGUGGAAGUGCACAAGAUACUGCUGAAUUUGAGUUCAGGAGAGGAAGGCAGAAUUCCCGGUGUAGCGGUGAAAUGCGUAGAUAUCGGGAGGAAUACCAGUGGCGAAGGCGGCCUUCUGGACUGACACUGACGCUGAGGCGCGAAAGCUAGGGGAGCAAACGGG
This 253-nucleotide ribosomal RNA is filed under the name uncultured bacterium. Its description in RNAcentral is "partial 16S ribosomal RNA". It matches the Rfam family "Bacterial small subunit ribosomal RNA", at positions 524 to 776 of the family's 1533-position model. RNAcentral also lists the same sequence under 1 other name. The record is from RNAcentral.